ACCCGUGGGUGAACAGUGGUCAGGAGUUGCCUCUGACAACAUGAAGAACAAAUCCUGGACCACCUGAAUCCCAAAACAACCCAGCUUUUGGUGGCCAUGGGAUUCCAGGCUGAGAACCUAUCUGUGGCAAUCAAAGAAAAAUUAUUCAGUUAUCCCAUGGCCACCUACCUUGUUUUGGAACAAACAAAACAGAAGAAGCGGUCCACUAUCAGACCACAGACCCUUCCUCCUGGGGAUCCCACUUGUCCUCUCUACAUUGAAGUUUCCACCUUCCCUCUUUCACUGAAGCGGGCUCAUAGCAUUCAGCAGAAGACUGUGGGUGCCAAGUCUGGGCAGGGCCUUUGCCCUUGGGAGUCCUGUUUUAGACCCAGCUCCACCACGUGGCCCUGGCCUCUUCUCUGCCCUGUCUGUGCUUGCAGCCAUGGUGCCCAGUCUGGCCCCACCAGGAGACACCAGAACGACUGUCCAUGUGUCUACUCCUUGGCACCUUCCCCGCAUGAUUGGAGAGGACGAAGGCCCUGAGGUCCAAGAACAUUGAAACCUGACAGUGGAUGCCAAUGGCUGUGGGGAGGAGCUGGGCGAGGCGCCCAGGUUGUCGUCUGCCCGGCAACGUGGGAGCCUGCAGCACUUUCCUGCAAAGCUCUAUUUUAUCUUUUUAAAUAAAAAUGGUUACUGAUAAGUGA
This 683-nucleotide long non-coding RNA is filed under the name Homo sapiens (human). RNAcentral's name for it is "novel transcript". The record is from RNAcentral. Lineage: Eukaryota; Metazoa; Chordata; Mammalia; Primates; Hominidae.